AACAGGAUUCCUCAGUAACGAGUGAAGCGGGACCCACCCCAAUCCCCCCGGCUGAGACGCCGGCGGGAACUGUGGUGUUCGGGACGACCCACGCCCGUCGGGCGGACACUCCUCUGAUAGGGGUUUCUCCCAGAGCGGGUGUGAGGCCUCUGCGGCUCCGGUCGGGAGCCGGGGAGUCGGAGUCGGGUUGGUUGAUAUUGCCCCAAAGCUGGUGGAUACUUCAUCUGCUGUGACUGCCGGCACUAGUAUAAUAACCAACUACUGCCGUGAAGGGUAGUUGAAAGAACUUUGAAAAAAUAGUUCAACACUUCUGAAGCCUACAGGAGAAAGGAGGAGACUGGUCGUCCGGCGCGGGAUUCACCGGCGGCUCGGCGGCGGCGUCCGGGUGUCCACUCCUCAGGGGAGCGGCUGACGCGGGCGGCGUCUUACUUUCCGGGAGCUAACCCCCGGUUCGCCGAAACCAACUCCCGGGAGGUGACCCUUGCAACCAUAACCGGCGGCUCGGCACAGACGG
Molecule: ribosomal RNA, 514 nt
Filed under: Metaphire taiwanensis
Lineage: Eukaryota; Metazoa; Annelida; Clitellata; Crassiclitellata; Megascolecidae
Description: eukaryotic LSU rRNA
Source: RNAcentral